This is a long non-coding RNA of Grus americana (Whooping crane), 354 nucleotides long. RefSeq lists it as uncharacterized. Lineage: Eukaryota; Metazoa; Chordata; Aves; Gruiformes; Gruidae. The record is from RefSeq and is a predicted model, not a curated record. The transcript has 4 exons.
GGCCGGCCCGACCGCGGGGCUCCUCCCCGGGCAGCCGCGGUUGCCAGGCGGAUCCCCGCGGGCCGGCGGCUGGUGCUGUGCGGGUCUCGGGCCGAGGGAUUUCGAGGGCUCCCUGCCUCCUCCCCUCCCUCCGCCUGCCAGGGUCCCAGAUAGCCAUGGUGCCUACAUACUCCAUGAUGGGACUUUUCAGAGGACACAUGAGUCUGAAAAGUAGCCCUUUUUCUCCUGGAUCUUCCUGCAAGCUCUCCAACCAGUACAUCAUUCAAGAUCACAUGGCUGCUCAUUACAAGAAACUGAUGUCCGCCAAAGCUGCUGUUGAUUCAUCUGCACCAAAGAGUUUGCGUACCAGUGUUA